This is a small nucleolar RNA of Ochotona princeps (American pika), 101 nucleotides long. NCBI's taxonomy places the organism in Eukaryota, Metazoa, Chordata, Mammalia, Lagomorpha, Ochotonidae. The record is from Ensembl.
AUCCUUUUGUGAUUCAUAAGCAUGAUUGUGUUUUCACACCACUGUGUGAGAUGGCACUCCCUCAAAUCUGAGUAUGACUCCAGCACAUUACCCAUCUGACA